Molecule: ribosomal RNA, 621 nt
Filed under: Clostridium cadaveris
Lineage: Bacteria; Bacillati; Bacillota; Clostridia; Eubacteriales; Clostridiaceae
Description: partial 23S ribosomal RNA
Rfam family: Bacterial large subunit ribosomal RNA
Source: RNAcentral
AAGCUGAUGUAUAGGGGCUGACGCCUGCCCGGUGCUGGAAGGUUAAGGGGAACACUUAGCAUAAGCGAAGGUGUGAACUUAAGCCCCAGUAAACGGCGGCCGUAACUAUAACGGUCCUAAGGUAGCGAAAUUCCUUGUCAGGUAAGUUCUGACCCGCACGAAUGGCGUAAUGACUUGGGCACUGUCUCAACUGCAAAUCCGGCGAAAUUGUAGUGCCAGUGAAGAUGCUGGCUACCCGCGAUUGGACGGAAAGACCCCGUAGAGCUUUACUGCAAUUUAGCAUUGAGUUUCGGUAUUGUCUGUACAGGAUAGGUGGGAGGCUGAGAAAUAGGAUCGUCAGGUCCUAUGGAGCCACCCUUGGGAUACCACCCUGACAGUACUGGGAUUCUAACCGGGCACCAUGAAGCUGGUGACGGGACAUUGUUAGGUGGGCAGUUUGACUGGGGCGGUCGCCUCCAAAAAAGUAACGGAGGCGCCCAAAGGUUCCCUCAGAAGGGUCGGAAAUCCUUCGAAGAGUGCAAAGGCAGAAGGGAGCCUGACUGCAAGACCAACAAGUCGAGCAGGGACGAAAGUCGGGCUUAGUGAUCCGGUGGUACCUCGUGGGAGGGCCAUCGCUCAACG